GAUUGAAGAACGUAGCGAAAUGCGAUAAGUAAUGUGAAUUGCAGAGUUUUGUGAAUCAUCGAAUCUUUGAACGCACAUUGCGCCCCUCGGUAUUCCGACGGGCAUGCCUGUCCGAGCGUCGUUGCAACCCAUCGAGUAACAUGUUCUCGGUCUUGGGCGCCGUCCCAUCGACGCCCCUCGCGGGGCCGGGACGGGCCCCAAACCCCUCGGCGGCCCUGGGUGCCCGCCGGAGCGUCUUCGAAAGCAAUCGCUCCGCGCGCGGCGCCCCGGGGGCUCCUGCCGCGACGACCACACCAAACGUCUUGACCUCGGAUCAGGUAGGGCUACCCGCUGAACUUAAGCAUAUCAAUAAGCGGAGGA
Molecule: unclassified non-coding RNA, 360 nt
Filed under: soil metagenome
Description: partial contains 5.8S ribosomal RNA, internal transcribed spacer 2, and large subunit ribosomal RNA
Rfam family: 5.8S ribosomal RNA (bases 4-121)
Source: RNAcentral